Molecule: long non-coding RNA, 2507 nt
Organism: Gasterosteus aculeatus aculeatus (three-spined stickleback)
Lineage: Eukaryota; Metazoa; Chordata; Actinopteri; Perciformes; Gasterosteidae
Source: Ensembl
UAGCAUAGCAUGAUGGUCUAGGGUAGCAUUAUGGUCCAGGAUAGCAUGAUGGUCUAGGAUAGCAUCAUGGUCUAGGAUAGCAUGAUGGUCUAGGAUAGCAUGAUGGUCCAGGAUAGCAUCAUGGUCUAGGGUAGCAUGAUGUUUCAGGAUAGCAUCAUGGUCUAGGAUAGCAUGAUGGUUUAGGAUGGCAUGAUGGUCUAGGGUAGCAUGAUGGUUUAGGAUGGCAUGAUGGUCUAGGGUAGCAUGAUGGUCUAGGAUAGCAUGAUGGUCUAGGGUAGCAUGAUGGUUUAGGAUGGCAUGAUGGUCUAGGGUAGCAUGAUGGUCUAGGGUAGCAUGAUGGUCUAGGAUAGCAUGAUGGGGAUAGCAGAGCUGACGCAGAGGACUCUCAUACAGGAUCAUGACUCUGCAUUGAAAGAAUAAUAAUAAUCAUCUUUUCUCUCUUUGUCUAUCUGUGGUUCUCUACUUCUGAAUCAGAUCUUGACACAUUCUCUCUCUUUUGAUUAUCUGUGACAGAUUUGAUUUACUUCCAACCCCAGCCGCUCAUCUGCUGUCACCAACCAUUUGAUGAAGAGCAAAGAGAGCAAUUUGCCAUUGGUUAUUAACAAAUCACUGUGCUGUGAAAAGCACCUUUUGUUUUCCUCAGCUUCGAAAACAAUUACAGUCAGCUUGUAUUUCUGUUCCAUAUUUCAUGACGACGCUCCAAUUAUGGUGAAAUUGAAAAGCAGAUUUACUUUUCACAGUCAAUGAAAGAAGCUGAAAAUUUGUUUAAAGUCCAAAUCAAACUUCUUAGAUCCCGCACCAUGACGUCUCUACUUUGGUUAUUCACAUGGUCGAUCAUUUUAUUGGAUGCAUGCUGAUUUUAAUUCAUCUAGCAAUAAUUUGUCCGUACAAAGAUGUGAUUGUAGCUGAGCACAAAGACUGUCAACUUUGGGAAACAGUCAGCCUGGCUUUCUCCAAAGCUAACAGAAUCCAACCAACCAGAAACUCACUCCUUGAAAUGUUGUACCGAACAAAGUAUAACAACUAAAGUUGACAUUUUCCAAGGGGUUAUGUGCCCAAGUGUUUCCUGGCAGUAACUUAUUCCCAGACAUUCAGAGGAGGCCAAGAAAGAAGUCGGCACAGUGUAAAACUAUUGUUUUUAAUCCAAAUUGUGGAAAAACCUACUUGAUAAUUUUUACUUAACUCUUGGAUAAUAAGGGUUUGGUUUGAAUUACACUUUUCAUGCAGACCAAUACACAUGUGCUUCAUACUAUAGAUUAUUUUAUGUGCAUGUACACAUGUUUCUUGCUUGUGUGCAUACAUGGUGAUAUUUCUGCUUUGGCCUUCCAGGAGCUUGGCCAAUUCUCUAUUUCACAGAGAUAUAUUGAGCAGUAAAAUGGUCUUCUGGGUUGCUAUCGUGAGAAACAUUCAUGUGUGCAAGGCGUCAGAGGUGCAAGACCAUUAAUGAGUGAACCAGAGAAGCUCCUUUGUCUACACACAUAAGCAAUUAAAACCAUGUUUUGUGAAGGUGUUGGAGGUCAAUACGAUCAUUUGUAUUGAAAGCAUGUCAUGAGGUCUUUCAUCUUCUGUUCAUUCAUUUAGUGGGUAUAGAAUUUAAUCUAAACACUUUAUUUUGAAACAGUUUCCGUGUUAAGGUAUUGUGUGUGUCAGUGUGUGUAAUGUGGAAAGUGGUUACAGCAGUGUCACAAAUAGGUUGUUUACAGAAAACUAACAUUAUUAAAGUGCCGUGCUGCUUUUACUGUCAGCACAACAAAACAAGUGCCCGUCCGAGGUCAAAUUUAUAUUAUUUAUAGAUAUGUCUGCCUUUAUUGGAUAUCAUAUAUGGAUUUAUUAGUUUACCGUUUAUUCUGUGUAUGUUAGCGUAGAAUUGCAUUUGGCAGUGACAUGGACACCAUGAAACACAGUGUACAUGUAAUAAAAUACGAAACACGCAGUGUUAUUUAACUGAUGUUGUUCUGAGUGGCGACUAUAGAAAGAAACCAUUUCUCUUUGCUCUGCAGCGCCAGCCUGAAGUUCCCCCCCCGUUGUGUCCAAGGUGUGAAAGGUCGGCAGUGAUGUGAUCAUUUAUGAACGGAGGGAAGGUUAGCACUGGAUUUUCUCUGAAGUCUUCACUCUGUGGUGUUCCUGUUUGCUGGCUGAUAAGAAGCACACAUUGAUGGAUGUGCAGAGAGCAGACUGGCUGUUUGCAGUCUGUUUAGUAAGUGACAAAAAUGUCCUAAACACAGGUUCCUGGUGUUAUUGUGUGUAGAAAAACUGAAUCAUAAUCACAGCAGCCAGUUUGGGCUUGUUGUCUCCGAGAAUCUUUGGUGAGCCCACCUGACAAAAGGUAGUUCCAGAGACUCAACCACAGUGUUGGACUGGCGGCUACUGACCUUGUAAUUAGGGGGCAGCGUGUCUGGGCGAGACAUCGUGUGCUGUGACUGAGCUCUGAGCCCGGCACACUUACAUCAGAACAAGACAUCUAAGCUGUCGUACAGAUGUAAAGUUAUUUUAAGUAGGAAUGGGAC